UUCUAAUGUGGCAGAUAAGUGCAAUGGAUUUAAGCUCCAUACAUGGGGGUAUCCCCCUAUUAGAAA
Molecule: transfer RNA, 66 nt
Filed under: Deleatidium vernale
Lineage: Eukaryota; Metazoa; Arthropoda; Insecta; Ephemeroptera; Leptophlebiidae
Description: tRNA-Leu
Source: RNAcentral